CUACGGGAGGCUGCAGUGAGGAAUAUUGUACAAUGGAGGAAACUCUGAUGCAGCAACGCCGCGUGGAGGAUGACGCAUUUCGGUGUGUAAACUCCUUUUAUGAGUCAAGAAAAUGACGGUAGCUCAUGAAUAAGCACCGGCUAACUCCGUGCCAGCAGCCGCGGUAAUACGGAGGGUGCAAGCGUUACUCGGAAUCACUGGGCGUAAAGGACGCGUAGGCGGGAUAUCAAGUCAGGUGUGAAAUCCUACAGCUUAACUGUAGAACUGCACUUGAAACUGGUAACCUAGAGUAUGGGAGGGGGAGAUGGAAUUAGUGGUGUAGGGGUAAAAUCCGUAGAUAUCACUAGGAAUACCUAAAGCGAAGGCGAUCUCCUGGAACAUAACUGACGCUAAGGCGUGAAAGCGUGGGGAGCAAACAGGAUUAGAUACCCGCGUAGUC
Molecule: ribosomal RNA, 439 nt
Filed under: uncultured bacterium
Lineage: Bacteria
Description: partial 16S ribosomal RNA
Rfam family: Bacterial small subunit ribosomal RNA
Source: RNAcentral